AUUGAACGCUGGCGGAAUGCUUUACACAUGCAAGUCGAACGGCAGCACGGGUGCUUGCACCUGGUGGCGAGUGGCGAACGGGUGAGUAAUGCACCGGAACGUAUCCAAUAAUGGGGGAUAACGCACCGAAAGGUGUGCUAAUACCGCAUACGCCCUGAGGGGGAAAGCGGGGGAGUCGUAAGACCUCGCGUUAAUGGAGCGGCCGAUGCCGGAUUAGCUAGUUGGUGAGGUAAAGGCUCACCAAGGCGACGAUCCGUAGCUGGUCUGAGAGGACGACCAGCCACACUGGAACUGAGACACGGUCCAGACUCCUACGGGAGGCAGCAGUGGGGAAUUUUGGACAAUGGGCGCAAGCCUGAUCCAGCCAUUCCGCGUGAGUGAAGAAGGCCUUCGGGUUGUAAAGCUCUUUCGUCAAGGAAGAAAACUUAAUCUCCUAAUACGAGGUGAGGUUGACGGUACCGUUGAUAAGAAGGACACCGGCUAACUACGUGCCAGCAGCCGCGGUAAGU
RNAcentral lists this ribosomal RNA (509 nucleotides) under uncultured bacterium. RNAcentral's name for it is "bacterial SSU rRNA". It matches the Rfam family "Bacterial small subunit ribosomal RNA", at positions 30 to 525 of the family's 1533-position model. The record is from RNAcentral.